This 559-nucleotide small RNA is filed under the name Pongo abelii (Sumatran orangutan). RNAcentral describes it as "processed transcript". Lineage: Eukaryota; Metazoa; Chordata; Mammalia; Primates; Hominidae. The record is from RNAcentral.
GCGGGGAGGUGAGGGGGCUUGGGGGGCCUCGCCUGAGAGAGUGAGGGGCCAGCAGCCUCCCCCGAUGGGUCGUCAGCAACGAGGGUGCCUCAGGAUGUGACGCAGGGCCCCGGGGCCACAGGUGGAAAGGAGGACAGCGGGAUGAUUCCCUUAGCAGGCACCGCCCCUGGGGCUGAGGGGCCGGCGCCUGGGGACUCCCAGGCUGUACGCCCCUACAAGCAGGAGCCCAGCAGCCCCCCGCUGGCGCCUGGCCUGCCCGCCUUCCUGGCGGCCCCGGGCACCACGUCCUGCCCCGAGUGCGGCAAAACGUCCCUGAAACCAGCUCACCUGCUGCGCCACCGGCAGAGCCACUCGGGCGAGAAGCCGCACGCCUGCCCUGAGUGCGGGAAGGCCUUUCGGCGCAAGGAGCACCUGCGGCGCCACCGCGACACGCACCCUGGCAGCCCCGGGCCCGCGCUGCGCCCUCUGCCAGCCCGUGAGAAGCCCCACGCGUGCUGCGAGUGUGGCAAGACCUUCUACUGGCGCGAGCACCUGGUGCGCCACCGCAAGACACACUCGG